AUGGCAUUCGAGCAGAGCGCGCAGAAUACAUCGUGUGCAACCCCGCGACCGAGAAGGUCUGGGCCGCGCUGCCACUGCCCGAUAGCCAUGACACACCAUGUCCUCGGUUUCACGGCCGCACCAUUUGCUUGUGUUUUGACCCCACCGUUCCUUCUUGCUUCACAGUGUUUGUCAUCAAUGAUAAUGGUCACGCCAUAA
Molecule: ribosomal RNA, 198 nt
Filed under: Triticum aestivum (bread wheat)
Lineage: Eukaryota; Viridiplantae; Streptophyta; Magnoliopsida; Poales; Poaceae
Description: partial small subunit ribosomal RNA
Source: RNAcentral